UUCUUAUCGUGAGAGGUGGAGGGAAAGGCCCUGUGAAACCUCAGCAACCAGCCCGGAGAGGGUCAGGUGCUAAUUCCUGCAGAGUAUUCUGCAAAGAUAAGAA
RNAcentral lists this non-coding RNA (103 nucleotides) under Salisediminibacterium beveridgei. RNAcentral's name for it is "Bacillus beveridgei SAM-I sequence". It matches the Rfam family "SAM riboswitch aptamer (S box leader)". Rfam says of the family: The SAM riboswitch is found upstream of a number of genes which code for proteins involved in methionine or cysteine biosynthesis in Gram-positive bacteria. The SAM riboswitch acts at the level of transcription termination control. The predicted structure consists of a complex stem-loop region followed by a single stem loop terminator region. Lineage: Bacteria; Bacillati; Bacillota; Bacilli; Caryophanales; Bacillaceae. The record is from Rfam by way of RNAcentral.